This 283-nucleotide unclassified non-coding RNA is filed under the name plant metagenome. RNAcentral describes it as "partial contains small subunit ribosomal RNA, internal transcribed spacer 1, and 5.8S ribosomal RNA". The stretch from base 235 to 283 matches the Rfam family "5.8S ribosomal RNA", at positions 1 to 49 of the family's 154-position model. The record is from RNAcentral.
UUUCCGUAGGUGAACCUGCGGAAGGAUCAUUAUUGUAUAACCGAGGUGCGAGGGCUGUCGCUGACCCGAAAGGUCGUGCACGCCCGAGUGCCCUCACACACAUCCAUCUCACCCCUAUAUGCACCACCGCGUGGGUCCCCCUUUGGCUUGUUCGGAGGGGGGCUUACGUUUUCACACAAACUUUGUAUGCAGUGUAGAAUGUAUUUUUUGUUUUUGCGAUCACGCAAUCAAUACAACUUUCAACAACGGAUCUCUUGGCUCUCGCAUCGAUGGAGAACGCAGC